UACGGAGGGGGCUAGCGUUGUUCGGAAUUACUGGGCGUAAAGCGCACGUAGGCGGCUUUGUAAGUUAGAGGUGAAAGCCCGGGGCUCAACUCCGGAAUUGCCUUUUAGACUGCAUCGCUUGAAUCAUGGAGAGGUGAGUGGAAUUCCGAGUGUAGAGGUGAAAUUCGUAGAUAUUCGGAAGAACACCAGUGGCGAAGGCGGCUCACUGGACAUGUAUUGACGCUGAGGUGGCGAAAAGCGUGGGGAGCAAACAGG
This 255-nucleotide ribosomal RNA is filed under the name uncultured bacterium. RNAcentral's name for it is "partial 16S ribosomal RNA". It matches the Rfam family "Bacterial small subunit ribosomal RNA", at positions 524 to 776 of the family's 1533-position model. The record is from RNAcentral.